This 198-nucleotide ribosomal RNA is filed under the name uncultured bacterium. Its description in RNAcentral is "partial 16S ribosomal RNA". It matches the Rfam family "Bacterial small subunit ribosomal RNA", at positions 328 to 539 of the family's 1533-position model. The record is from RNAcentral.
ACGCUCGACACCUACAGGAGGCAGCAGUGGGGAAUAUUGCACAAUGGGGGAAACCCUGAUGCAGCGACGCCGCGUGAGCGAAGAAGUAUCUCGGUAUGUAAAGCUCUAUCAGCAGGGAAGAAGAUGACGGUACCUGACUAAGAAGCACCGGCUAAAUACGUGCUAGCAGCCGCGGUAAUCUGAGCGGGCUGGCAAGGC